AGGUUGCAGGAAGAUGACUUAGUCAAAGGCUAAACUAUUUAAGGAAAUGGAUAAUGUAGAAUAAUAAUACAAAAGAUUUGAGUGAAAUAAUUGGUAAAGGUUCUCUUUUUAUGACUGUUGAGAAAUGGGCUAGCUUGAUGGUAGAGUGGAUAAAGGAUGAAUGGCAGAAGAAAUUGAAGAUCGCAAAGAACCGUCAAUAGUCUGAUGUGAGCAUCGAUACAAGCGGGUUUGCUAUUAUGUAUGCUCAUGAUAGACGUAUGGAAAUGAUGCUCGAUAAAUCGAUUUAUGACAAAGAGUUGUUUGAACACACUCAUAAGAGAAGAUAGUAUCUUUACAUCUGAGAAAGCAAAGAUAGCGAGUGAGAAAUAUGAUAUUAUGGUGCGACAGAAGUAUGGUGAGGAUCUAUUUUUCUAUUUUUUUUUGGAUGAGGAGGUUUGGUUGGCUGCUGCGGGACUGCUCAAAAAGGAUAGAGUGUUUGUGUUAGGUUAUAGCUUAGUUCCUCCUCCAUCUAAAUCCAACAAUAUAUCAUCUCAAACUAGCAUUGUUGGAUGUGACGCGCAGCUGCAUUCGAAUGAUGAGGUGACGAGGGAGAUGCGUCUUAUGUAGAAGAAUAUGGAUAAGUUAAAUUAGAAUAUUUAGGCACAACAAAAUCCAAUAGGUUAGGUUCUUCUUGCACAAUAGUAAUUUAUAGGCUGGAUUUUUCAUGGUUUGUCUCAAUUGAUACAUCCACAACCACCACCGACAUCAUCUGGAUAGACAACUGAGCAUUCUUCUAGAUCUUCGGAUACGACUCUGACUAUAGCUCCAUAGUGUUAGUCAUCUGCUUGGUGGGCUGCUCUUCCUUGAUGGAUGCCACCACACCCAUAUACUCCAUUGACGUUCCUUCGGUGGCUCAAACUCUAACUCAGCUUUAGGUAGUUGAAGAAAUAUAAUUUUUAAUAUCUUUCUUCAUUUUUUGUGCUAUAUCAUGCUUAUACAUGGAUAUAUGAUAUUUAGGACUCUACUUCAUAGCAACAUGCGU
This is a non-coding RNA of Elaeis guineensis (African oil palm), 1021 nucleotides long. The record is from RefSeq and is a predicted model, not a curated record. NCBI's taxonomy places the organism in Eukaryota, Viridiplantae, Streptophyta, Magnoliopsida, Arecales, Arecaceae.